AGAGUUUGAUCAUGGCUCAGAUUGAACGCUGGCGGCAGGCCUAACACAUGCAAGUCGAACGGUAACAGGAAACAGCUUGCUGUUUCGCUGACGAGUGGCGGACGGGUGAGUAAUGUCUGGGAAACUGCCUGAUGGAGGGGGAUAACUACUGGAAACGGUAGCUAAUACCGCAUAACGUCGCAAGACCAAAGAGGGGGACCCUCGGGCCUCUUGCCAUCGGAUGUGCCCAGAUGGGAUUAGCUUGUUGGUGGGGUAACGGCUCACCAAGGCGACGAUCCCUAGCUGGUCUGAGAGGAUGACCAGCCACACUGGAACUGAGACACGGUCCAGACUCCUACGGGAGGCAGCAGUGGGGAAUAUUGCACAAUGGGCGCAAGCCUGAUGCAGCCAUGCCGCGUGUAUGAAGAAGGCCUUCGGGUUGUAAAGUACUUUCAGCGGGGAGGAAGGGAGUAAAGUUAAUACCUUUGCUCAUUGACGUACCCGCAGAAGAAGCACCGGCUAACUCCGUGCCAGCAGCCGCGGUAAUACGGAGGGUGCAAGCGUUAAUCGGAAUUACUGGGCGUAAAGCGCACGCAGGCGGUUUGUUAAGUCAGAUGUGAAAUCCCCGGGCUCAACCUGGGAACUGCAUCUGAUACUGGCAAGCUUGAGUCUCGUAGAGGGGGGUAGAAUUCCAGGUGUAGCGGUGAAAUGCGUAGAGAUCUGGAGGAAUACCGGUGGCGAAGGCGGCCCCCUGGACGAAGACUGACGCUCAGGUGCGAAAGCGUGGGGAGCAAACAGGAUUAGAUACCCUGGUAGUCCACGCCGUAAACGAUGUCGACUUGGAGGUUGUGCCCUUGAGGCGUGGCUUCCGGAGCUAACGCGUUAAGUCGACCGCCUGGGGAGUACGGCCGCAAGGUUAAAACUCAAAUGAAUUGACGGGGGCCCGCACAAGCGGUGGAGCAUGUGGUUUAAUUCGAUGCAACGCGAAGAACCUUACCUGGUCUUGACAUCCACGGAAGUUUUCAGAGAUGAGAAUGUGCCUUCGGGAACCGUGAGACAGGUGCUGCAUGGCUGUCGUCAGCUCGUGUUGUGAAAUGUUGGGUUAAGUCCCGCAACGAGCGCAACCCUUAUCCUUUGUUGCCAGCGGUCCGGCCGGGAACUCAAAGGAGACUGCCAGUGAUAAACUGGAGGAAGGUGGGGAUGACGUCAAGUCAUCAUGGCCCUUACGACCAGGGCUACACACGUGCUACAAUGGCGCAUACAAAGAGAAGCGACCUCGCGAGAGCAAGCGGACCUCAUAAAGUGCGUCGUAGUCCGGAUUGGAGUCUGCAACUCGACUCCAUGAAGUCGGAAUCGCUAGUAAUCGUGGAUCAGAAUGCCACGGUGAAUACGUUCCCGGGCCUUGUACACACCGCCCGUCACACCAUGGGAGUGGGUUGCAAAAGAAGUAGGUAGCUUAACCUUCGGGAGGGCGCUUACCACUUUGUGAUUCAUGACUGGGGUGAAGUCGAAACAAGGUA
Molecule: ribosomal RNA, 1499 nt
Filed under: metagenome
Description: bacterial SSU rRNA
Rfam family: Bacterial small subunit ribosomal RNA
Source: RNAcentral